UAAUACAGAGGGGGCAAGCGUUGUUCGGAAUUACUGGGCGUAAAGGGCGCGUAGGCGGCCUUCUAAGUCAGACGUGAAAUCCCUCGGCUCAACCGGGGAACUGCGUCUGAGACUGGAAGGCUUGAAUCCGGGAGAGGGAUGUGGAAUUCCAGGUGUAGCGGUGAAAUGCGUAGAUAUCUGGAGGAACACCGGUGGCGAAGGCGGCAUCCUGGACCGGUAUUGACGCUGAGGCGCGAAAGCCAGGGGAGCAAACGGGAUUAGAUACCCCGGUAGUCCUGGCCCUAAACGAUGAAUGCUUGGUGUGGCGGGUAUCGAUCCCUGCCGUGCCGAAGCUAACGCAUUAAGCAUUCCGCCUGGGGAGUACGGUCGCAAGGCUG
Molecule: ribosomal RNA, 377 nt
Filed under: uncultured bacterium
Lineage: Bacteria
Description: bacterial SSU rRNA
Rfam family: Bacterial small subunit ribosomal RNA
Source: RNAcentral